UACGGAGGGUGCGAGCGUUGUCCGGAAUCACUGGGCGUAAAGGGCGCGUAGGUGGCGCGGGCAGUCAACGGUGAAAGUUCGGGGCUCAACCCUGAAUCGGCCGUCGAUACUCCCGGGCUUGAGCACUGUAGAGGCAGAUGGAAUUCCUGGUGUAGCGGUGAAAUGCGCAGAUAUCAGGAGGAACACCAAUGGCGAAGGCAGCUCGCUGGGACGUGACUGACGCUGAGACGCGAAAGCGUGGGGAGCAAACAGG
This 253-nucleotide ribosomal RNA is filed under the name uncultured bacterium. Its description in RNAcentral is "partial 16S ribosomal RNA". It matches the Rfam family "Bacterial small subunit ribosomal RNA", at positions 524 to 776 of the family's 1533-position model. The record is from RNAcentral.